AGUAUGAGGAGGAUAUGCUUGGAAUGCAAGGAGAGAUGUCUUGCCAGCAUAUUUCUCUUUGAUUCGUGGUUUUGAAGCAUCCUUACAAAAGAGUUACUCAGUUUCAGCAGCGGUGGCCAUAGCUGCAAAACCGAGGAAGCAGCAGGAAUGAAACCUCUCAAGGCACAGCCUGGGCUCCUUCAUGUUGCACAGCACAGAUAAAACACACCUUGUCCUAGCUGUGCAGAAGGUACAGCUUUGGCUCCUACAAGCUCUCAAGAAAAUGUCUGCAUUCAGGAAACUGUACUGUCUGGGUUUGAGAAGGAAAUGUUCCCAAUGUACCCCUGAAAAAGGUUUCAGACCAAGUUCAGUUCUGGUGCAGGUAGCAAGAUUCCACUUCCACGAGAUUUCACGCAUCUGUCAGAAGCUCAGCAGCCUCCUUUCCUGUUAGUGCUAUGCUGUCUUGGAUCUUGCUCUUCAAAGCCUUUGGCAUAGAAUGGAAACGAUUUGGAUGUCUGUUUUGGCAUUUGAAAUUCACAUUGUCAAGACUUUGUGCAGUGAUAAAACAGAAGAAAUGGUAUGAGAAAGUACACAAGAAGCUCCUGUUACAUCAGCUGUGACUUUUGAAUAACCACAUAGAAGAAUUCUGAAGAAAUGGUGCUGGAGCUUCAAGGGGUGAACUAAUGCCAAGUACCUGUCAACAGAGAUGCAAGCAAGGAAUGCAGUGCUGGUGUAGAAAUUCAUAUACAUAAGGAAUGCAGAAAUCUGACAAAGCAAGGCAGAGAGCCUCCAGUUAUCACCGUUCCAGGCAUAAUCUAUCCACAUAGGCAGAAUCAGAGAGUACAAAAGAUCAGCCAGGGAUAGGCUGAAGAUGUAGACUGCUAAUUCAUUCUUUUUUCUCACCUGAAUGCAAGAUGCAUAGAGGGAUAUGCAGUUAAUGGGAAUACUGAUGAUCAUCACAGUGCUGUACACAAAUGGAAACAAAUACUUAUCCAGAGUGUGAUCAUCAUGGCACUUAGCAGUGUUGUUCAUUGUCCGCCCUGAGUAUUAUCUUUGGGCUAAUUCCAGUCUGGAUGCAAUGAAAAACCCUCUGUAGUCUGAUGGACGGUCAUCUGUUAGUUCUUCAGGACCUGGUUGGUAAAACUCCAGCCUUCUGUUACCAAAAGGAAAAAUACCAGCUAUAAUAACAUUUUUUUGGUGUUUUUUUUUUUGCUUCUUGAUGGGUGUGGGGGUUUUUUGGCUGUUGUUGGUUUGUUGG
Molecule: long non-coding RNA, 1237 nt
Organism: Pogoniulus pusillus (Red-fronted tinkerbird)
Lineage: Eukaryota; Metazoa; Chordata; Aves; Piciformes; Lybiidae
Exons: 7
Source: RefSeq, a predicted model, not a curated record